RNAcentral lists this ribosomal RNA (460 nucleotides) under uncultured bacterium. Its description in RNAcentral is "partial 16S ribosomal RNA". It matches the Rfam family "Bacterial small subunit ribosomal RNA", at positions 338 to 795 of the family's 1533-position model. The record is from RNAcentral.
CCUACGGGUGGCAGCAGUGAGGAAUAUUGGUCAAUGGACGAGAGUCUGAACCAGCCAAGUAGCGUGAAGGAUGACUGCCCUAUGGGUUGUAAACUUCUUUUAUAUGGGAAUAAAAUGUUCCACGUGUGGGAUUUUGUAUGUACCAUAUGAAUAAGGAUCGGCUAACUCCGUGCCAGCAGCCGCGGUAAUACGGAGGAUCCGAGCGUUAUCUGGAUUUAUUGGGUUUAAAGGGAGCGUAGGUGGAUUGUUAAGUCAGUUGUGAAAGUUUGCGGCUCAACCGUAAAAUUGCAGUUGAAACUGGCAGUCUUGAGUACAGUAGAGGUGGGCGGAAUUCGUGGUGUAGCGGUGAAAUGCUUAGAUAUCACGAAGAACUCCGAGUGCGAAGGCAGUUCACUGGACUGCAACUGACACUGAGGCUCGAAAGUGUGGGUAUCAAACAGGAUUAGAUACCCCAGUAGUC